Molecule: ribosomal RNA, 301 nt
Filed under: uncultured bacterium
Lineage: Bacteria
Description: partial 16S ribosomal RNA
Rfam family: Bacterial small subunit ribosomal RNA
Source: RNAcentral
CAGUCGCCGCGGGAAUACAGAGGGUGCGAGCGUUAAUCGGAUUUACUGGGCGUAAAGCGUGCGUAGGCGGCUUCUUAAGUCGGAUGUGAAAUCCCUGAGCUUAACUUAGGAAUUGCAUUCGAUACUGGGAAGCUAGAGUAUGGGAGAGGAUGGUAGAAUUCCAGGUGUAGCGGUGAAAUGCGUAGAGAUCUGGAGGAAUACCGAUGGCGAAGGCAGCCAUCUGGCCUAAUACUGACGCUGAGGUACGAAAGCAUGGGGAGCAAACAGGAUUAGAUACCCGUGUAGUCCCUGUCUCUUAUAA